GGUACAGGAUGGGCCCGCAUCUGAUUAGCUAGUUGGUGAGAUAACAGCCCACCAAGGCGACGAUCAGUAGCCGACCUGAGAGGGUGAUCGGCCACAUUGGGACUGAGACACGGCCCAAACUCCUACGGGAGGCAGCAGUGGGGAAUAUUGCACAAUGGGCGAAAGCCUGAUGCAGCAACGCCGCGUGAAGGAUGAAGGGUUUCGGCUCGUAAACUUCUAUCAAUAGGGAAGAAACAAAUGACGGUACCUAAAUAAGAAGCCCCGGCUAACUACGCGCCAGCAGCCGCGGUAAUACGUAGGGGGCAAGCGUUAUCCGGAAUUACUGGGUGUAAAGGGAGCGUAGGCGGCAUGGUAAGCCAGAUGUGAAAGCCUUGGGCUUAACCCGAGGAUUGCAUUUGGAACUAUCAAGCUAGAGUACAGGAGAGGAAAGCGGAAUUCCUAGUGUAGCGGUGAAAUGCGUAGAUAUUAGGAAGAACACCAGUGGCGAAGGCGGCUUUCUGGACUGAAACUGACGCUGAGGCUCGAAAGCGUGGGGAGCAAACAGGAUUAGAUACCCUGGUAGUCCACGCCGUAAACGAUGAGUGCUAGGUGUCGGGGAGGAAUCCUCGGUG
This 611-nucleotide ribosomal RNA is filed under the name uncultured bacterium. Its description in RNAcentral is "bacterial SSU rRNA". It matches the Rfam family "Bacterial small subunit ribosomal RNA", at positions 217 to 845 of the family's 1533-position model. The record is from RNAcentral.